RNAcentral lists this ribosomal RNA (503 nucleotides) under uncultured bacterium. RNAcentral describes it as "partial 16S ribosomal RNA". It matches the Rfam family "Bacterial small subunit ribosomal RNA", at positions 30 to 523 of the family's 1533-position model. The record is from RNAcentral.
AUUGAACGCUGGCGGCAGGCUUAACACAUGCAAGUCGAGCGGGGUGAUGGUGCUUGCACUAUCACUUAGCGGCGGACGGGUGAGUAAUGCUUAGGAAUCUGCCUAUUAGUGGGGGACAACAUCUCGAAAGGGAUGCUAAUACCGCAUACGUCCUACGGGAGAAAGCAGGGGAUCACUUGUGACCUUGCGCUAAUAGAUGAGCCUAAGUCGGAUUAGCUAGUUGGUGGGGUAAAGGCCUACCAAGGCGACGAUCUGUAGCGGGUCUGAGAGGAUGAUGCGCCACACUGGGGACGAGACACGGCCCAGACUCCUACGGGAGGCAGCAGUGGGGAAUAUUGGACGAUGGGGGGAACCCUGAUCCAGCCAUGCCGCGUGUGUGAAGAAGGCCUUAUGGUUGUAAAGCACUUUAAGCGAGGAGGAGGCUCUUUUGGUUAAUACCCAAGAUGAGUGGACGUUACUCGCAGAAUAAGCACCGGCUAACUCUGUGCCAGCCGCCGCCGUAA